AGAGAGAGACAUGCGCGCAUAUCAAUAAGCGGAGGAAAAGAAACUAACUAGGAUUCCCUUAGUAACGGCGAGUGAAGCGGGAAGAGCUCAAAUUUGAAAUCUUCAAGGUUUUACCUUGACGAAUUGUAGUUUAAAGAAGUGUUUUCUGCUGGAGUUUUGGUAAAAGUUCUUUGGAAUAGGACAUCAUAGAGGGUGAGAAUCCCGUAUUUGACCAUUAUUUUCAGCUUUGUGAUACACUUUCAAAGAGUCGGAUUGUUUGGGAAUGCAGUCCAAAAUGGGUGGUAAAUUUCAUCUAAAGCUAAAUAUUGGCGAGAGACCGAUAGCGAACAAGUACCGUGAGGGAAAGAUGAAAAGAACUUUGAAAAGAGAGUUAAACAGUACGUGAAAUUGUCAAAAGGGAAGCGUUUGACACCAGUGUUGUUUUCCUCGAAAAUCAAUUAAAAAUGGCUCGAUUUUGUAUUGCUUGAGACCUUAAAAGCUCACUGUACAUUUUUCGUGUCUUUUUUAAUGCACUUUUCGUUUAACAAGUCAACAUCAGUUUCUUUUGUUGUAAAAGGGUCAUUGGAAGGUGGCUUUCUUUUCGGAGAAAGUGUUUAUAGCCUUUGGCCUCUGCAAUCGGAGAGACUGAGGUCUGCAGCGUAGACUCUUCGGGGUUAGAUACAUUUGUGCUAAGUUAUAGCUUUUUAUAGACAACUUGUUGACUAUAAUUAGUCUUGUAGCUUACUCGCUUAUGCUAUUUUACCUACGCUUAGGAUGUUGAAGAUGUAGCACAUAU
This 775-nucleotide ribosomal RNA is filed under the name uncultured Neocallimastigales. RNAcentral describes it as "partial large subunit ribosomal RNA". It matches the Rfam family "Eukaryotic large subunit ribosomal RNA", at positions 23 to 635 of the family's 3401-position model. Lineage: Eukaryota; Fungi; Neocallimastigomycota; Neocallimastigomycetes; Neocallimastigales. The record is from RNAcentral.